AACGAACGCUGGCGGCAGGCUUAACACAUGCAAGUCGAACGCGCCCUUCGGGGUGAGUGGCAGACGGGUGAGUAACGCGUGGGAACAUACCCUUCGGAUUGGAAUAACUGGGGGAAACUUCAGCUAAGACCGGAUACGUGCGAGAGCAGAAUGAUUUAUCGCCGAAGGAUUGGCCCGCGUCCGAUUAGCUAGUUGGUGUUGGUAAUGGCUCACCAAGGCGACGAUCGGUAGCUGGCUGAGAGGAUGACCAGCCACAUUGGGACUGAGACACGGCCCAAACUCCUACGGGAGGCAGCAGUGGGGAAUAUUGGACAAUGGGCGCAAGCCUGAUCCAGCCAUGCCGCGUGAGUGAUGACGGCCUUAGGGUUGUAAAGCUCUUUCGCACGCGACGAUAAUGACGGUAGCGUGAGAAGAAGCCCCGGCUAACUUCGUGCCAGCCGCCGCAGUAAC
RNAcentral lists this ribosomal RNA (450 nucleotides) under uncultured bacterium. RNAcentral describes it as "bacterial SSU rRNA". It matches the Rfam family "Bacterial small subunit ribosomal RNA", at positions 29 to 524 of the family's 1533-position model. The record is from RNAcentral.